RNAcentral lists this small RNA (2525 nucleotides) under Pongo abelii (Sumatran orangutan). Its description in RNAcentral is "retained intron". The record is from RNAcentral. Lineage: Eukaryota; Metazoa; Chordata; Mammalia; Primates; Hominidae.
CUACUAACGGCGAGCUUCCGCCAAUACUUGUUCUUGUUCUUGGUUCGGAGCGUCCCGGGAGCCGGGAAGGGAAGGAUUGUCUGCAGGGAUUGGAGCAAAUACCCAGUGGGGGGAAAGGCGGGACUUCCGCGUCCUGCCGGAAGUGACGUGACAAUCGCGGCCACCGCCAGGUGGAACGGCAGUUCCCCAUUCCCCUACCGAGCUGGGCAGUUAGCCAGCCCACUCCAACUCUCGGAACCAUGUUUGCAGACUUGGAUUAUGACAUCGAAGAGGAUAAACUCGGAAUCCCGACUGUGCCUGGGAAGGUGACCCUGCAGAAGGAUGCUCAGAACCUGAUCGGGAUCAGCAUUGGAGGAGGGGCCCAGUACUGUCCCUGCCUCUAUAUCGUCCAGGUAUUUGACAACACUCCAGCGGCCUUGGACGGCACAGUGGCAGCUGGCGAUGAGAUCACCGGUGUCAAUGGCAGGUCAAUCAAAGGGAAAACUAAGGUGGAGGUGGCGAAGAUGAUUCAGGAGGUGAAGGGGGAGGUGACCAUCCACUACAACAAGCUGCAGGCGGACCCCAAGCAGGGCAUGUCCCUGGACAUUGUGUUGAAGAAAGUCAAGCACCGGCUGGUGGAGAACAUGAGUUCAGGGACUGCAGAUGCUCUGGGCCUGAGCCGGGCCAUCCUGUGCAAUGAUGGGCUUGUCAAGAGGCUAGAGGAGCUGGAGCGGACCGCCGAACUGUACAAAGGGAUGACGGAACACACCAAGAACCUCCUACGGGCCUUUUAUGAGCUGUCGCAGACUCACCGGGCCUUUGGGGACGUGUUCUCCGUGAUCGGGGUGCGGGAGCCCCAGCCAGCUGCGAGCGAGGCUUUUGUGAAGUUCGCGGAUGCCCACCGCAGCAUCGAGAAGUUCGGCAUUCGGCUUCUGAAAACCAUCAAGCCGAUGCUGACGGAUCUGAACACUUACCUCAACAAAGCCAUCCCGGACACUCGCCUCACCAUCAAGAAGUACCUGGACGUGAAGUUUGAGUACCUGUCGUACUGCCUGAAGGUGAAGGAGAUGGAUGACGAGGAAUACAGCUGCAUUGUGAGUGUUGGAGGGGGUGGGGGGCUUGUACCUCCCCCACCUGGUCUGCCAGGGAUAGCAGGUGGCUCAGGCCAACCCGGGAGAGAACUGGGGGACUUGGCUGGACUCUCGUUCCUGGAGAUUUGGGGCCAUCUGCCCAGUCCCGCUGGGCCUCGGGGUGCUGGGCACCCGGCCGGGAACCACUCCCUCAGUCUGGGGAACUCUUGGAGGGAAAAUCGGAUUUUCUUCACUCCUAUGAGGCACUUUUAAGUUUUUGAUUUUUCUGCUGUCGGGAUCCAUCUAGUGGCUAAUGUUCAUUGAAUGUGGCAGAGGUUUGGGUUUGGUUUUUUCCUUCUUAAAGCUAUCACUGAGUGCUUCUGAGAAACACUGAAGUCUCAGAAAUGAGGUCUCAGGAAUGAGGAACCACCGUGGCUUUGAAAGCGCAGUGCGGUGCGAGGCUGUCCCUGAGCAGGCCUUCCUGUCCCACCCCCGCCCCAGGCCCUAGGCGAGCCCCUUUACCGGGUGAGCACCGGUAACUAUGAGUACCGCCUGAUCCUGCGCUGCCGCCAGGAGGCGCGCGCCCGCUUCUCCCAGAUGCGCAAGGAUGUGCUGGAGAAGAUGGAGCUGCUGGACCAGAAGCACGUCCAGGACAUCGUGUUCCAGCUGCAGCGCCUCGUGUCCACCAUGUCCAAGUACUACAACGACUGCUACGCAGUGCUGCGGGAUGCCGACGUCUUCCCCAUCGAGGUAGACCUGGCGCACACCACACUGGCCUAUGGCCUCAACCAGGAGGAGUUCACAGAUGGGGAGGAGGAGGAGGAGGAGGAAGACACGGCAGCUGGGGAGCCGGCCAGGGAUACACGAGGGGCUGCUGGGCCCUUGGACAAGGGUGGAAGCUGGUGUGACUCCUGAGUGCCCCGCGGGUGUGGUGCCGGGGGCAGGGUUCGUGGGAGGACGGAGCCUGGGAGCGGGGCGAGGCCGCCGCGCAAGGGGGCGGUGCAUAAAGGCCUGCUGGCUUGGGGCGCCUGCCUCCCUGCUCCUCUGUCCUUGCACAGCGAACCUGGGCUGCUGCCCAGGACAGGCACCAGGGUCAUGGCCUGGGACCUGGACACUGGCCCCUCCACCCUCUCUCCCCUCCCGGCUCCCCGGCCAGAGGGAGAGCUUGGUCUCUGGACCUGCCUUAGGAAGGAGACGGAGGGCAGAAAGGAGAAGAAAGGACUUGGAGGUGGCAGGAGUCCGGGCCCUGCUCCUUGUGGGCACUCACACUGCCCCCGGAGCCUGCCGGGAGUGGGGCCGGCGGUGGACAGCUGAGGUUGGGGCCAAUGUCUCCUGGGCACCCUUGCCUCGCCCCAGACCGGCCCGUCCGGUCCCCAUCACACCUCGGCGGCCUUUAUUUAUUCUGUUCCCCCAGGUUGGCCACUUCUCUGAAGGAAGGCUGGGUUCUGGGCCUGUAUCGAAUAAACACAAACCUGG